GAGUGCCGUCAAUUAUACAAAGAGGAACGCGUACGUUUUUAUAAGUCUCAGUGCUCGCAGAACUGAACUGCUCUUACACACCUUGCACUUGUUUUUAGUGACCAGAUGCUGUUGAUAUUUUUGCAGAGCACAGUGUGCAGGCUGCUUUGCUUUCUUUCGCCAUCAUUAAUUUGUCAGACAUGUCUGGAAAGUUGUCAUGUCACUUCAUCUGUUUAUUAACCUGGCAACAUGCACUGAGCUGACGUCGUGUAGUGAUGUCGUCACACGGUUUCAGAUGUUGACGUCGGAGCUACGAGUAUGAGUAAACGCGCAUGGUAUCAAACCAGUAACUGGUAACUGUAUCGGUUUUGAUGCAUCCCUAAGUUUUUACCUUAACUGCGAAUGACCAGUCGAGACAUGGUGCUCGGUGUCCUGCUUUAUUAACUCUGUGCAGUUUGAGAGAGGUGUAUGAUUUAGCAUGUAGGCUGUAUGAUGGUAAACAGGUCAUGAUAAGCUUCUCUUACUUUAGUCUUUUAGUGCUCCAGUGCAUAAAUCAAUAAAGAAGGUGUUUCUGGCACUAAACGUGCUCCUUGCCAUGUAAGUUUGGUGCUUGUGUAAGUUGAAUUUUUGGCUGUUAUUUAAUUAGUGACUGACACUGCCGCCAUGCUUAUGGAAACCCAUUGAACUGCCUGCUCGCAUAAACAUCAUCAAAAGAAGCAUUAAAGAGAUGAUUAGGCAAAUCUAUGCAGAAAUUGUGCUCACAUAAUAUAGUGGUCCCUUUCAUCCAUUUCACAAUCAAAAACUUUGACUCGUGCCAGUUUUUUUUUUCCUCCUUCCUUCAGUUUUUCCUCUUCCUCCUCUAUUUGUAUCAUUAUUUAUUUUGAUUUUUAUUUUUUUUUGUGAUGUGUUUAAAAUCACUGUAAAAAUCCCCCUUGUGUUUGAGUUAUUUUUCAAUUUUUUUUUCAUGGCUUUGGGACUUGUUUGUUUCUCCUUCAAGCAUUUAUCUACCUCACCCUUUUUUUUUAUAUAUAUAAAUAUAUGAACCUGUAUAUAAAGAAAAUUCAUCAGAUUUCUUUUCCCCCCAGCCAAAAAAAAGGACUCUGUAAGUGCUCUGUGUAUGUGAGUAAACCUCAAACACUACCAACCACGGCCUGGCGGCGGAGGCGCGCUGGCAUUGUGGAGGUUCGGACAAACUGGCUGCUUUCUUGCAUCCCUAUACGGUUUCCAAUUUGUUCCUUAUUUAUUUUAGAAAAAAAGGCCUUAUAAGUUAGCUUCAAAUGUGCUGGAACGUUGUUGACAUUUAAUUUAUGCCUCUUUUGUCUUGCUGAGACGGGGGAAAACGGUACUGAGACGUCAGAGUGAAACGGUCCUUUAUUCAUCAAGAUGGGUUUUUUUUGUUUGUUUGUUUUUGUUUGUUUGCUUUUCCCCCACAAUUGUUCACCAAGUUCUAUGUUUUCUCUCAAGCUUUAUUGUAAUUGUAAGUUCAUUAUUGAGUAUUGUGUUGGAAUUUAAACAUGAAUUGAAAAUCGAUUGCCGAGAACGUUGUCGACUGUAUGUUGGUGGCUUCUGAGUCAGUAUUGUUUGAAUGGCUUCUGGUGAAUUUAGAUGUUUUGUGCCGGGCGUCGGAAAGCUGAACCACUUUAGAAAUGGGUGAAAUUGUAAGACGAUUGGACCGAGAGUUUAAAGGACAUGACACUAAAUUUGCUCUUGCCUUUAUACAUUAUGCAGCCAACAAUCAGAACCGAUAUGGCUUGGUUAAAAGUGAAACGGGUUGCUGCAGAAAACAGUAGCUAUUAGUCCUCAUCAUUGCUCUCUCUUUACUCAACUGCCUUAAAAUUAGGCAUGUGCUGAUAUUCAGUUUGGAUAUCAUGAGAAGUUCUGACCUUUCAUCGCGGUUAAUGAUGCGGCCUCCUGUCUUCAUGCAUCUCUUGAUAGCCUUCAUCCUCCCCAGCUGGAAGCUGACGUAUGACGGGAGAGCUUGCUGGUGCGUGGGACUUGAUCCAGACUAAAUUGGGGAGAAAAUCAGGGGAAAAUGUUUUUAUUGACUUCCUAAUUUUGCCUCGACCUUCUGCAGAGAUCGUGUUGGGUAAGGAGCCAGUUUAACAAACAUGAUUGUGAAAAGUCAGUGUACCUAACGAUGUGCCAUUACUUUACACAGCAGAGGUCCCGAUUUGAUCAAGUUGUUGGAUAGCUGUGUGCCGUAGUGUAAUGCUCAUAAGCUUAAUCAGUUCCAUUUAUGCUAGCUCUUAAAAUAUCCAGGAUGCCCCUGUGCCUUCUCGUUAUCAAACUAGAGAAGAGCCUUUACGUACUCUGGCAAGAAGCAAAGUUUUAAAAUAUUCAAAUGAACCUAAUAAUAAUACCACCGGAACAAAUCUGACCGAAUGAAUCGGCCGUUAUUUCCGCAGCUAUGUUAGAGUGAACAAAGUGACCACGCGUCACAUUUCCCAUCGUAAACCUAUAAUUCGUUGAGAUUGGACAUCAUUUGUAUCUCAUUACGUUAAAUACAAACGAAAUAAAUAAGCAGUAACUGCUUUCAGUGCAAUUCUUUGAAAUCUUACAAUGCAGUUUUUUCCCUUUUCUCUUUUAAUAUUUAAGAAUGCUAGAGCUUCAGGUUAAGAUGUAUACAAAAGCUAAACAUAUUUACAAUCUAUACAGUUUAUAGGAGAGAACGUCAGAAUUUGCGCAUUUGAAGGGAUUUCCCAGGUCACAACAUAUUUAUCCAGCUUUGAAAGAUCAGAUCUUUUCAUUCAGGACCGACGUUAUCUCCUUAAACCGUCACUCCGAUGACAUGUAUGGGUACUGAGAAUGUUCUGUUAAAUAUUGCGAUAUAUCACAGAUUAUCAGCACAUGCCUACUUCACACAGAAUGGUAAAGCCAUUUAGGACUGAUGCUGCAAC
This is a long non-coding RNA of Ictalurus punctatus (channel catfish), 2876 nucleotides long. The record is from Ensembl. NCBI's taxonomy places the organism in Eukaryota, Metazoa, Chordata, Actinopteri, Siluriformes, Ictaluridae.